AGCGAAAUUCCUUGUCGGGUAAGUUCCGACCUGCACGAAUGGCGUAACGAUCUCCACACUGUCUCGGCCAGAGACUCGGUGAAAUUGAAGUCGCGGUGAAAAUGCCGUGUACCCGCAGAAAGACGGAAAGACCCUGUGCACCUUUACUAUAGCUUGACAUUGGGAUUUGAGCCUGCAUGUGUAGCAUAGGUGGGAGGCUGUGAACUCUGUACGCCAGUAUGGAGGGAGCCAUCGUUGAAAUACCACCCUUGUUUGUUCAGGUCCCUAACUCUUCGCCGUGAUCCGGUAAGAGGACAGUGUCUGGUGGGUAGUUUGACUGGGGCGGUCGCCUCCCAAAAUGUAACGGAGGCAUGCAAAGGUUCCCUCAGGCUGAUUGGAAACCAGCCGUCGAGUGCAAACGCAAAAGGGAGCUUGACUGCAAGAGAGACAUCUCGAGCAGGUACGAAAGUAGGUGUUAGUGAUCCGGUGAUCCCGAAUGGAAGGGUCAUCGCUCAUUGGAUAAAAGGUACGCCGGGGAUAACAGGCUGAUCGCAUCCAAGAGUUCACAUCGACGAUGCGGUUUGGCACCUCGAUGUCGGCUCAUCACAUCCUGGGGCUGAAGCAGGUCCCAAGGGUACGGCUGUUCGCCGUUUAAAGUGGUACGCGAGCUGGGUUUAAAACGUCGUGAGACAGUUUGGUCCCUAUCUUCUGUGGGCGUAGGAGAAUUGAAAGGGCCUGUCCCUAGUACGAGAGGACCGGGAUGGACACACCACUGGUGGACCUGUUGUCGUGCCAACGGCACAGCAGGGUAGCUAUGUGUGGAAGGGAUAACCGCUGAAAGCAUCUAAGCGGGAAGCCUGCCUUAAGAUAAGUUCUCCCUGACGCAAGUCCUGAAGGGCCGAGGUAGACGACCUCGUUGAUAGGCUGGAGGUGGAAGCCCUGUGAGGGGUGGAGCUGACCAGUACUAAUAGCCCGUGCGUCUUGUUUCU
This 968-nucleotide ribosomal RNA is filed under the name human gut metagenome. Its description in RNAcentral is "bacterial LSU rRNA". It matches the Rfam family "Bacterial large subunit ribosomal RNA", at positions 1958 to 2925 of the family's 2925-position model. The record is from RNAcentral.